AGAUUGAACGCUGGCGGUAGGCCUAACACAUGCAAGUCGAGCGCGAAAGUACCUUCGGGUGCGAGUAGAGCGGCGGACGGGUGCGUAACGCGUAGGAAUCUGCCUGGUAGUGGGGGAUAACUCGGGGAAACUCGAGCUAAUACCGCAUACGCCCCAUGGGGGAAAGCGGGGGACCUUCGGGCCUGGCGCUAUCAGAUGAGCCUGCGUCGGAUUAGCUAGUUGGUAGGGUAAUGGCCUACAAGGCGACGAUCCGUAGCUGGUCUGAGAGGAUGAUCAGCCACACUGGGACUGAGACACGGCCCAGACUCCUACGGGAGGCAGCAGUGGGGAAUAUUGGACAAGUGGGGGCAACCCUGAUCCAGCCAUACCGCGUGUGUGAAGAAGGCCUUAGGGUUAGUAAAGCACUUUUCGAGGUUGGGAAGGUAAAAGUUGACCGGACGAAGUACCCGGUAACCGUGACGCGUACCUGACAAGAAGAAGCACCGGCAAACCGUCCG
This 497-nucleotide ribosomal RNA is filed under the name uncultured soil bacterium. RNAcentral's name for it is "bacterial SSU rRNA". It matches the Rfam family "Bacterial small subunit ribosomal RNA", at positions 26 to 507 of the family's 1533-position model. The record is from RNAcentral.